UACAGAGGUCUCGAGCGUUGUUCGGAUUCAUUGGGCGUAAAGGGUGCGUAGGUGGCGCUGUAAGUCAGGUGUGAAAUUUCGGAGCUUAACUCCGAAACUGCAUUUGAUACUGCGGUGCUUGAGGACUGGAAAGGAGACUGGAAUUUACGGUGUAGCAGUGAAAUGCGUAGAGAUCGUAAGGAAGACCAGUGGCGAAGGCGGGUCUCUGGACAGUUCCUGACACUGAGGCACGAAGGCCAGGGGAGCAAACGGG
RNAcentral lists this ribosomal RNA (253 nucleotides) under uncultured bacterium. Its description in RNAcentral is "partial 16S ribosomal RNA". It matches the Rfam family "Bacterial small subunit ribosomal RNA", at positions 524 to 776 of the family's 1533-position model. The record is from RNAcentral.